Non-coding RNA from Lepisosteus oculatus (spotted gar), 1163 nucleotides. The record is from RefSeq and is a predicted model, not a curated record. Lineage: Eukaryota; Metazoa; Chordata; Actinopteri; Semionotiformes; Lepisosteidae.
CUGGAAGAAGGGCAGCAACGUCAGUCUGGCAUAGCUGGAGUCUCUACUCAAGCAAUUCUCCCUUUUGGAUGGCUUCAGAUGGUGUUACCCCAGUGACAUGGGAAUGCCUUGGAAAAACUCCCGGAGAGUGUGCAGUUGCCUGGAUUACAUCUUUGUGCACAAGACCUGCUCCAUGGAAUCCACGGCGGUGUCCCCAGUGUGGUAUUCCAAGGACAACUGCGUGAUAGUGGGGGCUAACACCAACCUGCCGACAUUCAGUUGUCUGGGGAGCCCAGAAGAAGAUGGUUAUCCACAGCCUGAGAUGGGGAGAUGGAGAGGAAGUGCUGGAUGAGGGCUACAAAGUAGAAGUGGUGACUGCAUUCUACAGAGAGCUUUUUCAGAAAAGCAGAUAGAGGUGGAAGCAGGUGCUGCUUUUUUGAAGGGGCUGAAGGCAAGAGUACUGAAGGAGGUGAGGUAGGACUUCUACAGCUGUUUAUUGGACAUCCUGGUGGCAGAUCUGGUGGAGGUAGGACAAGAGAUGUUCCGUCAGGGGAAACUGGGAGACACCAUGGGGGAAGGUGUCAGCUCCCCGCUCUUCAAAGGUGGGGGACGGGGUUCCACAGACUUCAGGAACUGGAGGCCUAUUACCAUGCUCUGCAUGGACAUCAAGAUGCUGUCCAAGCUUCUGUCCAGCAGACUGAGGACCACCCUUCUCCACAUCAUCCACAGUGACCAGAUGUGUGGGGUGGAGGGACGAUCUGUCAGCUGGAACCUCCAGCUCACCUGAGGCACCAUUGCCUGGGCUGAGGACCGGAACAUGCCCUCGAUGGUGGUGAGCCUGGUCCAGGAGAAAGCCAUUGACAGAGUAAACCACAGCUAGCUUGUCAGAGUGCUGGAAUGCUUUGGUUUUGGAGAGAGUUUCGGGCACUAGAGCAUUAGCAGACGCAGUGAGACAGGACCUUGUCUUCGAUGACCUGGCAAUACCAGGAUGUGCGGGGGAAACCCUGAAGAUAUCCUAGUAUGCAGACGACACAAUGCUGUUCCUGGGCUAAGACAGGGGGUUGAUGGGGGGCCCUGCAGGUCAUGGAGCAAUACUCCAGAGCCUUGAGGUUGAAGCUCAACCGCCAGAAGAGCAAACAGAAAUUCUUCGGACCCUGGAAGGACAGGACAACGGCAUUGGAAGG